GCUGGGGCUAACAUAGGGAGCUCACCCACCUUCAUGGAUUCGAACUGCUAUCAGCAGUUUAGCGGUUUAACCUGCUGUGCCAUAAAUGCAUAAAAGAGUACACAUUUGAUUUGUCACUGUUCCUUUCUGUUUGUUUUGCUUUAUAAAGGUUGACUUCUGCAAAGGUGGCAGUAGUUUGGAAACGUCUGAUUUAGUUAGCACUACUGAGCAAAGAGGAUGUUUAUCCGGAAUAGAGACUUGAUCCUUUGUUGAAUCUGGCAUGGGCAGCUGACAUUGAUGUUCCAGUUGACAUUUCUGUAAAUGAAGAGGGAACCCCAAAGGAAAACAAUGCAUCUGAAACCAACCCCAUAGAAGAUUCAGGGUCAAGUGAGUACAUUGCUUCUGGCCAUGUGGGCUAUGGAAACACUUCUUUGACAUGGACCCUCAGGU
RNAcentral lists this long non-coding RNA (429 nucleotides) under Anolis carolinensis (green anole). RNAcentral describes it as "lncRNA (ENSACAG00000034220.2)". Lineage: Eukaryota; Metazoa; Chordata; Lepidosauria; Squamata; Anolidae. The record is from RNAcentral.